This is a long non-coding RNA of Salmo salar (Atlantic salmon), 356 nucleotides long. RefSeq lists it as uncharacterized. Lineage: Eukaryota; Metazoa; Chordata; Actinopteri; Salmoniformes; Salmonidae. The record is from RefSeq and is a predicted model, not a curated record.
ACUGUUUGAGCACUAUCCACUGAAUUUGAAACUACGGUGCGCGACAUUGUUCAAUGUUCCAAUAAAUCAACAAUCUACUUUGUUUUUUUUCUUCCAAAUCGCCGCCGUCUUGAAGCUAAAAUUGGGAUCAUGUUUACUGUGCUAAUGACCAUACCAACAGUAAAGGAGAGCAAUGUACAAUACAGUGAACUCAGCAAAACAAGGAAUUUGUGUUCCACCCUGACCCGGUGUUUUCCUGCAGUCGACCAGACCCAGCAGUAAAGCGGUACCGGGAGACGUUUGACCUGCGGACUCCAGGAGGGUGGAGGGGAACGGGCUGGCUUUGUCCUGUUGGCCACAAUAAAUAUUAAACAGUA